RNAcentral lists this ribosomal RNA (691 nucleotides) under uncultured bacterium. RNAcentral's name for it is "bacterial SSU rRNA". It matches the Rfam family "Bacterial small subunit ribosomal RNA", at positions 69 to 776 of the family's 1533-position model. The record is from RNAcentral.
UCGAUUUACCUUCGGGUAUUGAGGAUGGCGGACGGGUGAGUAACGCGUAAGGAACUUGCCUCUUGGUCUGGGACAACUGUUGGAAACGACAGCUAAUACCAGAUAUUAUGAGAUUCUCGCAUGAGAAACUUAUGAAAGCUAUAUGCGCCAAGAGAGAGCCUUGCGUUCCAUUAGCUAGUUGGUGGGGUAACGGCCCACCAAGGCGACGAUGGAUAGCCGGCCUGAGAGGGUGAACGGCCACAAGGGGACUGAGACACGGCCCUUACUCCUACGGGAGGCAGCAGUGGGGAAUAUUGGACAAUGGGCCACAAGCCUGAUCCAGCAAUUCUGUGUGCACGAUGAAGGUCUUCGGAUUGUAAAGUGCUUUCAGUUGGGAAGAAGAAAGUGACGGUACCAACAGAAGAAGCGACGGCUAAAUACGUGCCAGCAGCCGCGGUAAUACGUAUGUCGCAAGCGUUAUCCGGAUUUAUUGGGCGUAAAGCGCGUCUAGGCGGAAAAAUAAGUCUGAUGUUAAAAUGCGGGGCUCAACUCCGUAUUGCGUUGGAAACUGUUUUUCUAGAGUACUGGAGAGGUGGGCGGAACUACAAGUGUAGAGGUGAAAUUCGUAGAUAUUUGUAGGAAUGCCGAUGGAGAAGUCAGCUCACUGGACAGAUACUGACGCUAAAGCGCGAAAGCGUGGGGAGCAAACAGG